RNAcentral lists this ribosomal RNA (490 nucleotides) under uncultured bacterium. Its description in RNAcentral is "partial 16S ribosomal RNA". It matches the Rfam family "Bacterial small subunit ribosomal RNA", at positions 30 to 507 of the family's 1533-position model. The record is from RNAcentral.
AUUGAACGCUGGCGGCAGGCCUAACACAUGCAAGUCGAACGGUAACAGGAAGCAGCUUGCCGCUUCGCUGACGAGUGGCGGACGGGUGAGUAAUGUCUGGGAAACUGCCUGAUGGAGGGGGAUAACUACUGGAAACGGUAGCUAAUACCGCAUAACGUCGCAAGACCAAAGAGGGGGACCUUAGGGCCUCUUGCCAUCGGAUGUGCCCAGAUGGGAUUAGCUAGUAGGUGGGGUAACGGCUCACCUAGGCGACGAUCCCUAGCUGGUCUGAGAGGAUGACCAGCCACACUGGAACUGAGACACGGUCCAGACUCCUACGGGAGGCAGCAGUGGGGAAUAUUGCACAAUGGGCGCAAGCCUGAUGCAGCCAUGCCGCGUGUAUGAAGAAGGCCUUCGGGUUGUAAAGUACUUUCAGCGGGGAGGAAGGGAGUAAAGUUAAUACCUUGGCUCAUUGACGUUACCCGCAGAAGAAGCACCGGCUAACUCCGUG